This 484-nucleotide ribosomal RNA is filed under the name uncultured bacterium. RNAcentral describes it as "partial 16S ribosomal RNA". It matches the Rfam family "Bacterial small subunit ribosomal RNA", at positions 30 to 507 of the family's 1533-position model. The record is from RNAcentral.
AUUGAACGCUAGCGGGAUGCUUUACACAUGCAAGUCGAACGGCAGCGCGGACUUCGGUCUGGCGGCGAGCGGCGAACGGGUGAGUAAUGUAUCGGAACGUGCCCAGUAGCGGGGGAUAACUACGCGAAAGCGUAGCUAAUACCGCAUAUGCCCUACGGGGGAAAGCAGGGGAUCGUAAGACCUUGCACUAUUGGAGCGGCCGAUAUCGGAUUAGCUAGUUGGUGAGGUAACGGCUCACCAAGGCAACGAUCCGUAGCUGGUUUGAGAGGACGACCAGCCACACUGGGACUGAGACACGGCCCAGACUCCUACGGGAGGCAGCAGUGGGGAAUUUUGGACAAUGGGGGCAACCCUGAUCCAGCCAUCCCGCGUGUGCGAUGAAGGCCUUCGGGUUGUAAAGCACUUUUGGCAGGAAAGAAACGUCGCGGGCUAAUACCCCGUGGAACUGACGGUACCUGCAGAAUAAGCACCGGCUAACUACGUG